UACGUAGGGUGCAAGCGUUAAUCGGAAUUACUGGGCGUAAAGCGUGCGCAGGCGGUUUUGUAAGUCUGUCGUGAAAUCCCCGGGCUCAACCUGGGAAUUGCGAUGGAGACUGCAAGGCUAGAAUCUGGCAGAGGGGGGUAGAAUUCCACGUGUAGCGGUGAAAUGCGUAGAGAUGUGGAGGAACACCGAUAGCGAAGGCAGCCUCCUGGGCCAAUACUGACGCUCAUGCACGAAAGCGUGGGGAGCAAACAGG
This 253-nucleotide ribosomal RNA is filed under the name uncultured bacterium. Its description in RNAcentral is "partial 16S ribosomal RNA". It matches the Rfam family "Bacterial small subunit ribosomal RNA", at positions 524 to 776 of the family's 1533-position model. The record is from RNAcentral.